CAGCGAGAGAAGCAGGAAGGGAAAGGCUAAAGAAAGGCCAAAAUCUCAGGGCUAAAUGCUAUCCUUUCACAUCCCUCAAAGGAAAUAUAGAAUCAGAAAUAACUAUUCAGCAAACACAAAGUACUAUUUAAGAUGCAUUUGUUUCAUGUAUCGCCAAGAUAGAAAAAAGAACUGUCCUUUAAGCCAUGUCACGUCAUCUAAUAUAGGAUAUAUCCCAACCAGAAAGAAAUUACAAAUUGGAGAGAAAAACAAAUCGAGUCUUACAAUUCCAUAGUAAUGAUAGUAACAAGAGCUAAAAUUUGCCUUUAGUUACAAUGUUUCAGGCACUGUUUAAGCUCUUUAUUUGUAGCCUCUCAUUUGAUCCUCUCAAGAGCCUCAUGAAGGCAGAUAGUAUUAGUACUCUUAUCCCCAUUUUACAGAAGGAAAUGGAAGUAGAGUGAGACAGUAAUUUUCCCAAGGCCAUGUAAGUCUUAGUAGAGCCAAUCACUGGAGUCUAAAUCCCUACUCUUGCACCAUUGUAGCUCUCUUGGAAGUUACAGAAAACAUGAAGCAGCAGGAAAAAGUCACCUGUGAUCACACGAUUAAAAACAACAUCACAGAUUUGACACUGUUCCCUCCAGUAAUAAAAAUAACAAUACAUUUUCUGUGAGAUUUUCAAUGAUUAGUAUUUGUGAAGGCAAUAAUUUAUAUGGGGACCAAAUGGAACAAUUAAUAAAUACCACCCUGAAAUUGCUGUGCAACACUUUCUAAUAAACCUACAGAGUCUUCUGAACUAGAAAAUUUGUGCUGGGUGUGCCUGCCAGCCAACUCCUUGCUUUGUUCCUUACUGGAUUAAUCCAAGCCUUCCAAUGAUUUGCCCCAUCUCCAUGGCUUAUGAAAGUCCCCAAGAAAUAUGUUUCUUAUGUCAAUACCAAGUGCUUCUUGGACACUGUAACAUGAUGCUGCUAGAUUCUUGCCGAAAGUGGUCACAGACCCCUUGAGACACCAUAUGGCAAGCAACUAGAUGUCAUCAUAAAAGCCUGUCUCAGAUUUCUGGGCAGCCAGCAGCCUCAGAGGACACAGCUCCUCCAAAGCCUUGGCGUUCUUGCAAUACCACUAACUGGCUGGAAUGAGUAUCUCCAGGUCAGACAGCCCAUCCCAGAGGGGUGUUUGACACUUGAGAAUGCAGGUGAGGCCUAAAAGCUUGUGCAUAACAAAGCUGAAGAUUUUGCCUGUGCCUGUGACAUCAGCUGUUCAUGCAUCCAGUGAGGCCAGAAAAUGGAAUGCAGAUUAGCUAUGUUCUACUGGAACAAAUUGAAAGCAUUAUGCUGCAAUAUAGUUCCGCUUAAAGCACGCAGAAGGGAAAAGUGGGGUGCCUUACACUGUCAGGGCCUCCAAAGGCCCCACAUGUGAUUGGGAAUGGUUUUGUAUGGAAAUAAAUUUGGCAGUAUACGUUUUUUCAAACUAGGCAGUGGGUGAGAGAGACUUUGCUGUUUCGCAAAGGCUUGGGAGUUUUUUGAGUUUUCAUUUUAAAAAUAGCAAAAAAAUCAUUUUGUUAUGAAGAAAUCAUUUUCUGCAGUGACAAUUCAUGUCUGAAAAACUUUUUUAGACUAAAACUUGGUUUCUCUCAAAGAAGAGUUUCUCCCACUGAAAGAGGUGAAUAUAUUCUUGUGACUUUAUGAGAAGGUUUUUUCCCUUAAAGAGGUUAAUAGAGCUCUGAAAUUUGAAAAACAUUUGUGUAGUACAUAAACAAUUUUGUUUUUGUCUUUUGUCUUUUUUUAGGGCCACACCUGAGGCAUAUGGAGGUUCCCAGGCUAGGGGUCGAAUCGGAGCUAUCGCUGCCGGCCUAUGCCACAGCCACAGCAAUGCCAGAUCCAAGCCACAUUUGUGACCUACACCACAGCUCACAGCACCACCGGAUCCUCAACCCACUGAGCAAAGCAAGGGAUCGAACCCACAACCUCAUGGUUCCUAGUCAGAUCAUUUCUGCUGCGCCACAAUGGGAACUCCUUUUUUCUUUUCCUUUCUUUCUUUCUUUUUUUUUUUCAACAUGAACAAGUUUUUAAAAUUACUACACCUCACUAUAAUUUGGGAUCAAACUGUAAUUUAGGAUCCCUCUUUUACCUCCAUUUCUCUGUUAAAAGGCUUCCUCUCACUCUGAAAUGAGAUGUAAGAUCAGGUGAAGUUAAUAAGCUGUAGGUCUCUCAGCGGAAAGAUAUGAACUUAAUGGAGGAUAGUAGUUGUUUUAGGCAUAAGUAGGAAUGCAAUGCAUUCUAUAGAUAAGGAAAAAAAAAUCCAUUCUUACCCAUGAGCUUUGCAGGGGCCAGGGUGAGACAAUGGAACAGGGGCUCAGAGCCAGCUGGUCUCCUCCUUGGGCUCUUCUGCAGGGGUGGAUCAUCCUGGGCGUGGUCAGCACUGGACAUCUAGGCAGGAACCGAAGGGGGAUUUCUAUUUUGGUCAGAUAAGCAAAGCAAACCUCUAUGUAGAGAGCAGUUACAUGCAAGUGAAAGUACAUAUAAAAGUACCUACAUGGUGCUUGGCACAAAGCAGACAACCCUCAGGUGUUUGUUCAUUCUGAAUCUUUAAUUCCAGUUCUGGAGCUCUUAUGGAUGCAGAUUUGGCUGGAUAAAACUGAUAACUAAUAUUCUGGACAAGCUUUUGUCUUAUACUCUGCCUACCUUGGGUAGAGACCAAUGAACAUACAUUUGACAAGCCCACAGUGGAUCUCUACCAUAUGCCAGACACCUGUGCCAGGUGACUUCACAGACACUACUCCAGCCCUUCCCGGGUCCUCCAGUGUCCUAGGUUCAACCUGUCCAUGAAAACCCAAAUAAAUAAUGGUCCCAUCUCAUAUUACUCCAGAAGCCCAAAGCCCUAAGUUUCUGGCAUGAAGCUCCCACUCUUCCUAUUAGUUUUCUGUCCAGUUCACUUUAUGCCAUAAUGUGGAUACUUCUUAUCCAUCAUUCCCCAAAGAAGACUAUCUAGCGCUCAUUUGCUCUUACAAUGAAUUCAGCUGCUUCUCUAGAAAACUACCUCUGCAGCAGGAUUCUUACCUCCAAACGAUAAGCAUGUGUUUCCAUUCCUUACUCUACUUUUAUUUCCUAAUCCCAAAGAAAUCACCUUGCCUAUGAGAGACCCCUCUCAGGCCAGCCCUCUUACUGCUGACUUGUAUCUAAAUUCAGAAUGCUGGAUAUGCAGAUUUAUUCUGAUACCUGUUAGUGCCCAAAUAGAAGUUAAGGAUGAUCAGAAAAGAGCAAGUUACCUUACACAUGCAAUUCUACAAAGUCUUUCUCUAUUAUAAGGCCCUAUCUCAAUUAUUUCAUUUCAGAAAACAGAGUACUAUUGAGGUAAACACUCUAUCAGUGCUAAUUAUGGCUGGCUCCCCAGAGAGUCACCUGAUGAACUUGAAAACAAAGGAGGAAUAUAAACAUUCAUUCAGUCAUUAUUCCUUUAGAUGUGACCACACAGCUGUGGUUAAACGUUCUUGUAAGUAAGUCUUUUUUAAAAUUACUUUUAAAAGCAGUAUAGUAAAUGGUUAAAUUUGGGCAAUGAGGGAAAUAUAUACCUACAGAAGGAAUGAAAAACAACAAAGAAGCACCAUCCUGUAGUUACCUGCUGGUGUGCCUACAGCUUGCUUCAGGACUGUCUUCAGCUGCAUGUAACAGAAGCCUAGCUAAAAUGGCUUAAUCAAAAAAAGGUUGAAUUCUUCUCACGUAGCAACAAGUUUGGAUAGCAGCAGUCCAAAUCUGGUAGCGCCAUGCCACAGUCCCAGUAGGAACACAAGUUCCGUUUCACUCUCACUCCACCAUCCUCACUGUGUAUUUCAGUCCUGGCAAUUACAAGACGACAGCUCCACUUUCUAGCUUCAGGUCCACAUUCCAGGCAGAAAUGAAAGGAUUAGGAUCUGAAGGCAAGUCCAAAGAAAUCCAUGCAAGCUGAAUAACCCUUUUCUGAAGAAUUUUUCCUGAAGCCCCUUCUAAAACAGGAGGGAAGGCGGCAGGGCAUAACCUUUCAAAAAAGCGCCAUAUGAAGUUCCCCGUAGUGGCUCAGCAGAACCGAAUCUGACUAGCAUCCACAAGGACGCAGGUUUCAUAUCUGGCUUCGCUCAGUGGGUUACGGAUCCGGCGUUGCAGUGAGCUGUGGUGUAGGUUGCAGAUGCUCCUUGGACGGGGACACACACACACACACACACGGGGUGGGGGGUACAUAGCAAAAUUCCCUGGUGGCACACCUUGGACGGGGACACACACACACACACACACACACACACACACACACACACACACACGGGGAGGGGGGGGGUACAUAGCAAAAUUCCCUGGUGGCACAGCAGGUUAAGGAUCCAGCAUUGUCACUGCUGCCGCUCAAGUAGCUGCUGUGGUGUAGGGUCAGUCCCUGUCGCGAGAAUUUCCACGUGCUA
Molecule: long non-coding RNA, 4399 nt
Filed under: Sus scrofa (pig)
Lineage: Eukaryota; Metazoa; Chordata; Mammalia; Artiodactyla; Suidae
Description: lncRNA (ENSSSCG00000061969.1)
Source: RNAcentral